Non-coding RNA from Gasterosteus aculeatus aculeatus (three-spined stickleback), 3755 nucleotides. NCBI's taxonomy places the organism in Eukaryota, Metazoa, Chordata, Actinopteri, Perciformes, Gasterosteidae. The record is from RefSeq and is a predicted model, not a curated record.
UAAACUGUUUAAGUAACUGUUUAAUCUGAAAUCAAAUUUGCUUGAGUACACAUCCAAAACAAUUCAAGUUACAUUUUCUAAAUGCUCUCUCCCACUGCACCAUACUGGUGUAAAAUUGAAGUAAACGUUUUUCUAGGCAUACAAACUUAAUGAAUAUUCUUUAAAAAAAAAGAAGCAGUUAUGUAAUUUGAUGACAUCCUGGCUUUUAGAGUGGUGCAACAGACACCCCCUGUUUUCAGGGACUAGAUGGUAUAUCCCAGUCUCUCCCUCUCUAUUUCUCCUCCCUCCUGCUUUUAGUGUCCUCCAUCCAUCUUCCUCUUUCGUAAACUAAAGACCUUUUCACCAAGACAUUUACUCAUCCAUCUGUUGUUCUUGAAACAUCUACAGACGUGCUGAAGAGUGAAGCAGCACAGAGCUGACCAAAUAAAGACUCCUCCUGACCAGACCACACCUCUGUCUUUGAGUCGAUGGAAGCCAAGGCCAAGUCCGGGGCUUCGGCACCCAAGGCGCCAACUAAAGCAGAGAAGAAGGAGCUGGCAGCCCCACGCAAAGCUGAGCCUGCACCUGCAGCCCCUGCAGCUCCUGCAGCUCCGGCAGCCCCUGCAGCCCCUGCAGCCCCUGCAGCCCCCGAGCCGGAGCAUCCUCCUCCCCAGGAUGGGGCAGCAGAAGCUGAAGCAGCAGCAGCAGGUGACGAGGCUGCGGCCUCCGGCACAGACUCUUUGGAACAGCUGAAACCGUUUCUCAUUGGUGGUGCCGUUAUAGCUGCAGGUGCCGUCUUGCUGGGAGUGCUGCUACUGGCGAGGAGAAAUUAAGACCAAAUUAUUAUCUCAAAUUAAAGUAUUUAUUGGGAUAUGAGUUAAGAGUGGUGUUGGCUGGGGGUUUAGAGACUAUUAUGGUACAGAUGGGGGAUGGGGGGUCACUCUUUAUCUUGUGUUUAUUUAUUUUUUAGCCUGCUUUCACUUAUAGUGAAUCCAAUCAUUCAAGUUUCGAUAAAGAGCAUAAUUGCACAUGAUAUAUGCAUGCAUUUGUUUUAAUACUACUUCCGAACUGUAUAAACCCAUUUUCUUAAAAAAAAUCACACUAGUACUGAGCAGAGAGCCCAAACUCUCUAAAGGUAGCUACUUUUGUUUUCACAAAUAUUAACAACAACAACAACAAAUAUUUGCAACAUAUAUAAAUCCUUGCUCCAGAAAUCCACCUGGUUCACUUUGCUAAUACUGGCUAUCAGAGCGCUCCUAACGUUUAUUUCACCUUUGAAUUAGACAAUUGAAAGAGUAUGUCUGAAAACAGGUAGAAAUAUGCUUUGGUUAAAGAGAAAUAGAAGAAGAAAACAAAAUACACAAAGUGGUAUAGGAAUGGCAUUUAGCAGAUUGUAAGACAUAAAACAUGUACUAUAUGUGUCAGAGAAAUAUAUAGUAAAGUUACCUUUCAAUGUAGAAUAAGAUUUUUACUUUACUGUUAAAUGAUGUCACAAAUCAAUAACCUUUCAUGUCUCACUCAACAUCCACGGUUCACUCUUACGAUAGAUUAGCCAUUAGUGUUGCAUUAGCAGGUUUAAAGCCUGCUACCAAAACGUAAGAGUUGUUUAUCUCUUCACUGUGUUCCACUCAUGAGGCCGUUGGAGAAAAACAAAACGCAAUCCUCAGACAUACCCAUGCACAACUUCAUUGUAAUGCGAGGUUGUUAUUACAAUGCCAGUGGUGUGUAGAUGUUUCUGUUACUACAACUGUUGAGUUGUAGUAAACAUUAAAAAAAUUCCACUUCUAUUGAAGGAAGCUCUCAAUGGUUCAGCUGUACACGUUAGUGCACACUCAUUAUGUAAAUCUCAUGGAGAUGUCACUGCUGCAUAAGUAGAUAGACAGACAGUUCUGAACAUUAUUGUAGGGCCCUUAUGCAUUUUACCAACACAUUACAGGCCCAAAAAUACUGUAAUAACAUACCUCAUAUUCACCACAGUCCACACCUACACACACAUAAAAAAGAUGGUAUGCCCACACCAAAACAAAGUUCACAUUACAUUGUACAAGGCAGUGUUCCAAUAAAAAGAGAAAUCCUAUUUUCAUAAUGUUAACAGCGUAUAAAUGCAAUAAUUCAGAUAGGACUCCUGAUUUAGCACCUGUGCUGUAGCAAGUUAAAGUACAUAUAUGAUGAUAUAACGAUAUUCGUGGUGAUAAUGAUGUAUGAAGUUAGUGAAUGCAAUGAUGCCGAUGAUACAAAUGAUGACUGCAAUGAUUAUGUUUUCAAUGGGGACUUUUAUGAUGAUACCAAUGGUUAUGAUAUAUUUUUGAUAUAUUUCUAACAUAUUUCCCUUAUGUACACUCCCCUCUUCCCCCAAACUCCAAAGUGUAAAAAAGGAGCGGUCGUAAUCUAACCUUUAUUAAAGACAGUGAACCAGCCCAAGUAAAUAUUUCUUCAUUUGAAAUUUUGUGUAUUAAGUGUCAGCUUUGUGAGAUUCGUGUUUCAAAUGUUAUGAAUGGGUUCUUUGGUCUUUAGAAAAUUCUAGAAGCAAACCAAUUCAGUUACAUUAACAAAAGCAAAAAAUUCAAGUGGGAUUUUUAAAACAGUUUCAAAGGGAACAUAAAAGUACAGACGUUGCAAUUUACAACAGUUUGUAACGUGAAAAAUAUCCACUGUCAAAUUAACAUUUUAAUAUUCAUAAAAACUAUGAAAACAAAGAUUGAAUAUCCGGGUGUAAACUACUACAUUUAGUUUUCUUUGAAAACAAGGUUUAUGGUACAAUUGUAGAAUAUCGUUCAUCAGCAGUCACUACACAUGUUUAAUUGCUCUAAUUUGAAGGACACUUGCUAAAACAUGUGUGAGUUGUUACUCUCAGUUAUCAAUCCGUAGACUAGCUAAUAUAACUCAUCCAGCAACACCCACAGAAGUGUUUCAUUGGGCCUUUAAUCAGGGAGAGGCCGUGUGGGGUAUGAUAGGAUGUUGCUAAAAGAUUUAGGCCAAGACUUGGCACAAAAAGUGCAACAAAACUCACCAGAAUCAGGGAGUCAAUUAUCAUUUGAGAGGUUUUUCAUCGUACACAUUUUGAGUCGCAGCUUUUGAAAUAUACAGUUGCCAUUUUACUGUACUUAACUUUGUCUUUUUUAAGACAAUGAUUGUUUUGCAGUGGAUUUAUUUAAUGGUACACUGGGAGAUGUUUUAAAUAUUCGUGCUUCCUAUUGAUAGCAAUGAGGUUGUAUGGUUUGCAUCAAAUAACACUUUAUUUGAUACUUUACAUUUUCAUUAAGCCUUUGAGCAACGGAAGCCUUUAUUUUGAAGGGUCGGGGCGGAAACGUUUUAGUUUCGGCUCGAGGGAACGAGGGAAGCUACAAUCAGUUUCUCUCAGACAAACUUAAAACUUAAGCUUGAUCUGAUAACGGUGCUUUACGAUGAUAAUCCCCGUCCGGUGUUUCACGUGUGGGAAGAUUGUGGGGAACAAGUGGGAGGCCUACCUGGGCCUACUUCAAGCAGAGUACACGGAGGGCGACGCCCUUGAUGCCCUCGGCCUGAAGAGAUACUGUUGUCGGCGGAUGCUCCUUUCUCAUGUGGAUCUUAUUGAGAAAUUGUUGAAUUAUGCUCCAUUGGAGAAGUGAUUGUUACUGGCUACCUUCACAAAUAACAAACUUUUAGGCUUGUAGCAUGGACAGACUGAACGGCCAUGCCAAAAAUAUUUGUCAGAACAAAUGGCAAUUAGAAUACACAUAUGGAACUUUGCACCACCUUGAAAUGCUUUUUUUUCUAAAUAAAUGGGUUGAAUGACA